This 458-nucleotide ribosomal RNA is filed under the name uncultured bacterium. RNAcentral's name for it is "partial 16S ribosomal RNA". It matches the Rfam family "Bacterial small subunit ribosomal RNA", at positions 338 to 795 of the family's 1533-position model. The record is from RNAcentral.
CCUACGGGAGGCAGCAGUGAGGAAUAUUGGUCAAUGGGCGAGAGCCUGAACCAGCCAAGUCGCGUGAGGGAGUACUGCCCUAUGGGUUGUAAACCUCUUUUGUCGGGGAGCACAAGCCGGACGUGUCCGGCUGUGAGAGUACCCGAAGAAAAAGCAUCGGCUAACUCCGUGCCAGCAGCCGCGGUAAUACGGAGGAUGCGAGCGUUAUCCGGAUUUAUUGGGGUUAAAGGGUGCGCAGGCGGAUUGUUAAGUCAGCGGUCAAAUCGUGGGGCUCAACCCCAUCCAGCCGUUGAAACUGGGGAUCUAGAGUGUGCGAGAGGUAUGCGGAAUGCGUGGUGUAGCGGUGAAAUGCAUAGAUAUCACGCAGAACCCCGAUUGCGAAGGCAGCAUACCGGUGCACAACUGACGCUCAGGCACGAAAGCGUGGGUAUCGAACAGGAUUAGAUACCCUAGUAGUC